Molecule: ribosomal RNA, 462 nt
Filed under: uncultured bacterium
Lineage: Bacteria
Description: partial 16S ribosomal RNA
Rfam family: Bacterial small subunit ribosomal RNA
Source: RNAcentral
GACGAACGCUGGCGGCGUGCUUAACACAUGCAAGUCGAACGGAAAGGCCCUUCGGGGUACUCGAGUGGCGAACGGGUGAGUAACACGUGGGUGAUCUGCCCUGCACUUUGGGAUAAGCCUGGGAAACUGGGUCUAAUACCGAAUAGGACCACGCGCUUCAUGGUGUGUGGUGGAAAGCUUUUGCGGUGUGGGAUGGGCCCGCGGCCUAUCAGCUUGUUGGUGGGGUAAUGGCCUACCAAGGCGACGACGGGUAGCCGGCCUGAGAGGGUGACCGGCCACACUGGGACUGAGAGACGGCCCAGACUCGUACGGGAGGCAGCAGUGGGGAAUAUUGCACAAUGGGCGCAAGCCUGAUGCAGCGACGCCGCGUGAGGGAUGACGGCCUUCGGGUUGUAAACCUCUUUCAAUAGGGACGAAGCGCAAGUGACGGUACCUAUAGAAGAAGCACCGGCCAACUACGCG